RNAcentral lists this ribosomal RNA (253 nucleotides) under uncultured bacterium. Its description in RNAcentral is "partial 16S ribosomal RNA". It matches the Rfam family "Bacterial small subunit ribosomal RNA", at positions 524 to 776 of the family's 1533-position model. The record is from RNAcentral.
UACGGAGGGAGCUAGCGUUGUUCGGAAUUACUGGGCGUAAAGCGCACGUAGGCGGCUUUGUAAGUUAGAGGUGAAAGCCCGGGGCUCAACUCCGGAACUGCCUUUAAGACUGCAUCGCUUGAAUCCAGGAGAGGUGAGUGGAAUUCCGAGUGUAGAGGUGAAAUUCGUAGAUAUUCGGAAGAACACCAGUGGCGAAGGCGGAUCACUGGACUGGUAAUGACUCUGAGGUGCGCAAGCGUGGGGAGCAAACAGG